RNAcentral lists this ribosomal RNA (254 nucleotides) under uncultured bacterium. Its description in RNAcentral is "partial 16S ribosomal RNA". It matches the Rfam family "Bacterial small subunit ribosomal RNA", at positions 524 to 776 of the family's 1533-position model. The record is from RNAcentral.
UACGUAGGGGGCGAGCGUUGUCCGGAUUUACUGGGCGUAAAGAGCUCGUAGGCGGUUUGAUAAGUCGGGUGUGAAACCUCCAGGCUUAACCUGGAGUCGCCACUUGAUACUGUCAUGACUAGAAUCCGGUAGGGGACCAUGGAAUUCCUGGUGUAGCGGUGAAAUGCGCAGAUAUCAGGAGGAACACCAGUAGCGAAGGCGGUGGUCUGGGCCGGUAUUGACGCUGAGGAGCGAAAGUGUGGGGAGCGAACAGG